AGUGAACGCUGGCGGUAGGCCUAACACAUGCAAGUCGAACGGCAGCACAGUAAGAGCUUGCUCUUACGGGUGGCGAGUGGCGGACGGAUGAGGAAUACAUCGGAAUCUACUUUUUCGUGGGGGAUAACGUAGGGAAACUUACGCUAAUACCGCAUACGACCUACGGGUGAAAGCAGGGGAUCUUCGGACCUUGCGCGAUUGAAUGAGCCGAUGUCGGAUUAGCUAGUUGGCGGGGUAAAGGCCCACCAAGGCGACGAUCCGUAGCUGGUCUGAGAGGAUGAUAGGCCACACUGGAACUGAGACACGGUCAAGGCUACUGCGGGAGGCACCAGUGGGGAAUGUUGGACAGUGGGGGCAAGCCUGGUCCAGCCAUACCGCGUGGGUGAAGACGGCCUUCCGGUUGUAAAGCCGUUUUGUUGGGUAAGAAAAGCAGCAGGUUAAUACGCAGCGGUUGUGACGGUACCCAAUGAAUAAGCACCGGCUAACUUCGUG
RNAcentral lists this ribosomal RNA (492 nucleotides) under uncultured bacterium. Its description in RNAcentral is "partial 16S ribosomal RNA". It matches the Rfam family "Bacterial small subunit ribosomal RNA", at positions 29 to 507 of the family's 1533-position model. The record is from RNAcentral.